Molecule: long non-coding RNA, 345 nt
Filed under: Carica papaya (papaya)
Lineage: Eukaryota; Viridiplantae; Streptophyta; Magnoliopsida; Brassicales; Caricaceae
Description: long non-coding RNA (CPAP_LNC008142)
Source: RNAcentral
AUUCGGGCUCCAUUAGCAAUCUUAAUUAAUUAUACAAAUCUAUUAAUUCAUAAAAUACCGUUUAUCAUUUAUUAAGCUUUAAUACCGUGAUAGGAAACAGGGUGAGAGAUCCUUACCUAUUUUGGGGUCUGAAAUCGGCUCUACAAUGCGCCUACGGGCUGUCUCUAAAUUUCCUAAAUUUUCUCCUAGGAAACUGAAACGCACUACUGGUAUCUGCAGGUGUCCUAAAAAACUCCAAAUCAGACCCAGGGCCCCUUUUCGGCCAAUAUCAAAAUUCCGGCACAGUGGCUCCACCGUGCUCUGGCGAUGGCACCGCCGCCCGCAACGGCAAACAGCCCCGGGUUG